RNAcentral lists this RNase P RNA (250 nucleotides) under Candidatus Aenigmatarchaeota archaeon. Its description in RNAcentral is "RNase P RNA component". It matches the Rfam family "Archaeal RNase P". Rfam says of the family: Ribonuclease P (RNase P) is a ubiquitous endoribonuclease, found in archaea, bacteria and eukarya as well as chloroplasts and mitochondria. Lineage: Archaea; Nanobdellati; Candidatus Aenigmatarchaeota. The record is from RNAcentral.
CUGAGCCCUCCAGGUAGCUUCGCCUCUGCCAAAAAGCAGAGGUGAGGAAAUUCCACCCAUUGAGGCAAGAAGAGGCUGAGAAGCCUCGCGUGGACAUCAGAAACGAGACCUUUAGCAAGCGCUAACGAUGAUUGAAAUAUGAGUUGCUUGCUAAAGGGUGAAACGGGUCCACGCAGCCAAUGAGAUGCAAGCUUAAAUGGCGCUUAGACGAAUGCUACCUAAAACAGAAGGUGGGUUAUGGAGGGCACAG